GAUGAAGAACGCAGCGAAAUGCGAUAAGUAAUGUGAAUUGCAGAAUUCAGUGAAUCAUCGAAUCUUUGAACGCACAUUGCGCCCGUCAGUAUUCUGGCGGGCAUGCCUGUUCGAGCGUCAUUACGCCCCUCAAGUCCCCUGUGGACUUGGUGUUGGGGAUCGGCGAGGCUGGUUUUCCAGCACAGCCGUCCCUUAAAUUAAUUGGCGGUCUCGCCGUGGCCCUCCUCUGCGCAGUAGUAAAACACUCGCAACAGGAGCCCGGCGCGGUCCACUGCCGUAAAACCCCCCAACUUUUAAUAGUUGACCUCGAAUCAGGUAGGACUACCCGCUGAACUUAAGCAUAUCAAUAAGCGGAGGA
RNAcentral lists this unclassified non-coding RNA (358 nucleotides) under soil metagenome. RNAcentral's name for it is "partial contains 5.8S ribosomal RNA, internal transcribed spacer 2, and large subunit ribosomal RNA". The stretch from base 1 to 120 matches the Rfam family "5.8S ribosomal RNA", at positions 35 to 154 of the family's 154-position model. The record is from RNAcentral.